GGAGUUGUGGCUCAGUGGUAGAGCGCUUGCCUAGCCCAUGCAAGGCCCUGGGUUCGAUCCUCAGCACCA
Non-coding RNA from Ictidomys tridecemlineatus (thirteen-lined ground squirrel), 69 nucleotides. NCBI's taxonomy places the organism in Eukaryota, Metazoa, Chordata, Mammalia, Rodentia, Sciuridae. The record is from Rfam.